RNAcentral lists this ribosomal RNA (455 nucleotides) under uncultured bacterium. RNAcentral's name for it is "bacterial SSU rRNA". It matches the Rfam family "Bacterial small subunit ribosomal RNA", at positions 8 to 507 of the family's 1533-position model. The record is from RNAcentral.
AGAGUUUGAUCAUGGCUCAGAACGAACGGCUUGGCGGCAGGCCUAACACAUGCAAGUCGAGCGGGGGAGCAAUCCCUAGCGGCGGACGGGUUAGUAACGCGUGGGAACAUACCCUUUGGUACGGAAUAGCCUCGGGAAACUGAGAGUAAUACCGUAUGUGCCCUUCGGGGGAAAGAUUUAUCGCCAAAGGAUUGGCCCGCGUUGGAUUAGGUAGUUGGUGGGGUAAUGGCCUACCAAGCCUACGAUCCAUAGCUGGUUUGAGAGGAUGAUCAGCAACACUGGGACUGAGACACGGCCCAGACUCCUACGGGAGGCAGCAGUGGGGAAUCUUAGACAAUGGGCGCAAGCCUGAUCUAGCCAUGCCGCGUGAGCGACGAAGGCCUUAGGGUUGUAAAGCUCUUUCAGAUGGGAAGAUAAUGACGGUACCAUCAGAAGAAGCCCCGGCUAACUCCGUG